RNAcentral lists this ribosomal RNA (449 nucleotides) under uncultured bacterium. Its description in RNAcentral is "partial 16S ribosomal RNA". It matches the Rfam family "Bacterial small subunit ribosomal RNA", at positions 29 to 523 of the family's 1533-position model. The record is from RNAcentral.
AACGAACGCUGGCGGCAUGCCUAACACAUGCAAGUCGAACGAGAUCUUCGGGUCUAGUGGCGCACGGGUGCGUAACGCGUGGGAAUCUGCCCUUUGGUUCGGAAUAACAGUUGGACACGACUGCUAAUACCGGAUGAUGACGAAAGUCCAAAGAUUUAUCGCCAGAGGAUGAGCCCGCGUAGGAUUAGCUAGUUGGUGUGGUAAAGGCGCACCAAGGCGCCGAUCCUUAGCUGGUCUGAGAGGAUGAUCAGCCACACUGGGACUGAGACAAGGCCCAGACUCCUACGGGAGGCAGCAGUGGGGAAUAUUGGACAAUGGGCGAAAGCCUGAUCCAGCAAUGCCGCGUGAGUGAUGAAGGCCUUAGGGUUGUAAAGCUCUUUUACCCGGGAUGAUAAUGACAGUACCGGGAGAAUAAGCUCCGGCUAACUCCGUGCCAGCCGCCGCGGUAA